UUUGGAAAAAGCCAAAUCUACCGUGAGGUAGAGACGGAAAGCCACGGAACUUAAAAAACGGCAGAUGGUGGCUAGUGAUUGAUGAAAAUAACUAAUUGCUGAUUGCUAUUUAUUAUUUUUAAGUUAGCCGGGUUGCCAAA
This 140-nucleotide non-coding RNA is filed under the name Candidatus Desulfofervidus. RNAcentral describes it as "c-di-GMP sequence". It matches the Rfam family "c-di-GMP-I riboswitch aptamer". From Rfam's summary of the family: GEMM was predicted in a large-scale screen for bacterial structured RNA regulatory elements. The record is from RNAcentral. Lineage: Bacteria; Pseudomonadati; Thermodesulfobacteriota; Candidatus Desulfofervidia; Candidatus Desulfofervidales; Candidatus Desulfofervidaceae.